UUAAGAUAAUUUCUUUCUUUGGAGCGUUUGGCUGUUGCUGUGCUGCUGUCGGCCACCUUGAAAUCAAGUGUGGAGGAGUGAACUCCACAUCUAUCCAUCCAUUUCUACCGCUUGUCCCGCUCGGAGUCGCAGGGGGUGCUGGAGCCUAUCUCAGCUGUUCACUCAUCGCAGGGAGGAGUGAACUCAUUAAGGCAUUCAAUCGAUUCAACUGGACUGUUUUGUUUGUUUUGGAAGACGUUUCGCCGCUCAUCCAAUGCAAUAUUUACAGGAAAGAGGGAGGAGCACUAAAAACCUGGCAGAUCAUCCAUUACGUUUGAUGUUGGAUGACAUGACUCAAUGUGAAGCUGAGAAAAGGACACAGAGGACAUUGAGUUGCAACCAAUGGACCAUAAAAUUUGUGCCACUGGGGAAUCACAGAUAGGAUAACUCUCGAUGUCAGCAAUCAUAAAUCUACUGGCAUUUACUCCGGCUCUCUUCUGUGCUUCUAUGCUAGAUUUCCAAUGAAAUAUCUACUAAUAAAGGCCUGAUUAAAAAGAAAAUAACAUAGAAUUAAAUGUGUACUACGAAGUUCCGAUUUUACAUGAAU
Long non-coding RNA from Entelurus aequoreus (snake pipefish), 586 nucleotides. RefSeq lists it as uncharacterized. The record is from RefSeq and is a predicted model, not a curated record. NCBI's taxonomy places the organism in Eukaryota, Metazoa, Chordata, Actinopteri, Syngnathiformes, Syngnathidae. The transcript has 3 exons.